UCUCCGUUGGUGAACCAGCGGAGGGAUCAUUACAGAGUUGCAAAACUCCAACAAACCAUCGCGAAUCUUACCCGUACGGUUGCCUCGGCGCUGGCGGUCCGGAAGGCCCUCGGGCCCCCCCGGAUCCUCGGGUCUCCCGCUCGCGGGAGGCUGCCCGCCGGAGUGCCGAAGCCAAACUCUUGAUAUUUUAUGUCUCUCUGAGUAAACUUUUAAAUAAGUCAAAACUUUCAACAACGGAUCUCUUGGUUCUG
Molecule: unclassified non-coding RNA, 251 nt
Filed under: plant metagenome
Description: partial contains small subunit ribosomal RNA, internal transcribed spacer 1, and 5.8S ribosomal RNA
Source: RNAcentral